CUUAAAGGGACUUUGGUAAUAAUUGUAUGGUUGCUUACUUUUCCGACUUCAGAAAAAGAUUCAUUCACUCAUUCAUUUUGGAACAACGUCACUACGUUACCGCUAUUUGUUGUUGGCUUCGAUUGGAAAUAAUUUCGAAGGAGGGACAAACAAAAGACCCAAGAAGCUGAGGUUCUGGACUGGAGAUCCACUUUUAGCACCCCUUUGAUCUCAGCAAGACCCCGGUGAGAAAACUCCUGGAAAGUCCAUUUCUGUUGCUUCAAGCUCUGUAAGAAACUUCUGGCACUUAGACAUGAGGACAUUAAUGGCCUCAGUAACCAGGACAUCGGGAGGGAGGAUCCCUGUGGACUCAACUGAAACUGAAGAGAAAACAGAGGCAACAUGCGAUUAUACCAUUGGUUUCUGCCACCAAGUGAACAUGACCUUGCAUAAACCUCUCUUGCAAAAUCCUCUUUAUGAAGAGACCGUUCUUAGUGGCAUUAACCUCGGCCACCUCUCUGCGAUUAGUUCAGCACCAUGGACAGAACUCCCGGCUUGUUGACAGGGCAGUUCAAGCAGACUCAUCC
This 566-nucleotide long non-coding RNA is filed under the name Danio rerio (zebrafish). Its description in RNAcentral is "si:ch211-67n3.10 (ENSDARG00000102544.2)". Lineage: Eukaryota; Metazoa; Chordata; Actinopteri; Cypriniformes; Danionidae. The record is from RNAcentral.